This is a long non-coding RNA of Callorhinus ursinus (northern fur seal), 2990 nucleotides long. RefSeq lists it as uncharacterized. Lineage: Eukaryota; Metazoa; Chordata; Mammalia; Carnivora; Otariidae. The record is from RefSeq and is a predicted model, not a curated record.
UCUUCUCACAUUUACUGAUGCUCAGGUGUGUUUGCCACAACAGGGAGCUAUGAACUCCACCUUUCUUGGUGUGAGGGCCUCUCUUGGAGCCUACAUUGGUGCAGAGUGUGAUGAAGGCUUCUGUGGGGCAGCCUGAGUAACCUGAGCCAGGUGCAGAGAAAGGAGCACAGAGGAAAACAGAGAAGCUGUGGGAGAUGGCCACCCAGCUCAGCACGGCCAGCCCCGGCUGCCCAGCAGGCGCCUGGACAGAUUGGAGGAGGGCCUGCAGCAGCUGAGCCUGCCCAGGGAGUGCAGGGGGCCUGCGGGAGCCGACAAGGACAGUGACAUCAGAACGGUGACAUCACAGGCAAGCCCUAUGAAUAGAGAUAAGGGAGGAAGACCAGAGCCCUGAGUCAGAAGAUGCGCUGUCCUGUCCUGCCUGAAUCUUCCAGGGGCACCCAGCUGCUCUGCUGUGUGGCCCUCUGUCUCCUGGGGGCAGGUCCAGUGGGUGCUGAAGUCAUCCAGACCCCCAGACACCUAAUCCAAGGCCGCGGGGGGAAGGCUGUUCUGAAAUGCCAUCCUAUCACUGGGCACAGCAGCGUGAGAUGGUACCAGCAGGCCCCGGGCCAGGGCUCCCGGUUCCUCAUUGAGUAUUAUGAACAGGAGCAGAGAGAGACAAAGGAGACAUCCCGGAGUGGUUCUCAGCUCAGCAGUUCAUAGGUCUCCAAGCCUCUGAAAUCAACAUUUCCCUAAAAUUGAAUGGGUUUCCUGGCCCUUAACCAACAAGAUGUCGCAGACCACCGUGUCUUCCAUCUCUGUACUGGCUAAGCUGUGGUGGGGAGGUCAUACAUCAUGGUGUCGGGUUACCAUACCUAUUGCCUGCCCACUUCUAGAACCUGCUGCAAGCCAGAGAAUGUGUAUCUGUCCGGUCACAGUUCCACUAGGGUGGGGCCAGGGUAUUCCCCCAAUGCAAGAGCUGAGGGACUAGGGGGUUUCCAGUCUACCGGAGAUUCAGCCAAGGAAAUAGGAGCCCCCUGGGGAUCUCAAGCAGAAUGGGAGUUAAUAUGGGAACUAGUGCUUCUAAACCAUUGGACGUUCUGGAGGAAGGAGGUUCUGCAGAGGCUGCAGUUCGCUCAUACGUCUAGCACUUUCCAUCAGAAAAGCUGAAAUUGCUACUUCUGCCCAGGCCGGUAACUGCAGAAAACAGCAGAGAGCUACAGUUAAGUACAUGUGCGGCAUAGCCGUUUCCCGGUGGCAGGUACAAACUUAUUAGUGAACACACACGGUUUUAAUUCUAUUCCUUUUCUGGGAACUUAUAGAAAAUUCCCUUAUUUAUUGCUCAUUUUCUCUGUGCCAUAUACUUAAGUACAUUAUUUCGAUUAAUUCUCUCGGGCCUUGUAGAUGAUUUGCUGAAGGAGGCGCAGCUCACAGAUAUGGGAUGCAUGCCAACCUAACUGCUACCCCCCUUCCGCAUUUUGGUAGAGGAAGGCAUCUUCACAAUUGGAACACUGACCUAAAAGUACCUUCCAGAAACAUGGGCCCUGACACAGUCAUUUGCGCAGGGAGGCUACCUGCUGAAAGAGGACUUCUGAGAUUUCCAUCUGUUCAUAUUCGGACCUGCCUUGGACUGGUGACCAGGACAAUAUUUGACUGGGUUUUCCCACUUGUAAACUAAGGCCAAUAAUAUGUGUCUUGCAGAGAUUUUAUGCAAGAAAAUAAAACAAAUUGCCUAACACAAAGAUUAGACCCAAGAAAUCUUGGUUCCCCCGUUAGCUCUGACAAAGCUCUGGCCUAACACAAUUAUUUACUGGGUGCAAUUCUGGGAUCAAAGGCAGGCAUGGAUUACUUUUGCCUGACUCACCUAUGUUCCAGACACGAAGUCAUCUGAAAUGUAAAUACAGUCAUCUGAUAAUGUAUUAUGUGAAAUUAACUGCAAACGGUUGCCUCUUAUGGGAAUGAGAAAAUGAGGUCUAUGACAGCACUCUUUGUUUGAUAUUAAGUCUGAUAUGCAAGAAGGUGCUGUGCUUCCAGAACAUUGCAGCUUUGGUGCGACUGAUGAUCACACAGAAGAUCUGAUAAAGGAAGGUACAGUUUUAUUCAAAAGAGUCCAUCAUGGUAGAGCCUCUAGGGCCUUCUGUCCUGCCUCUGAUUUCACCCUCCACUGCUGUGGACAGUAUUUUCAUGCAGGUCUGCCUCCAUUCACCUCAUGCUGACGGCGUGCCCCUCACACACAUGCCCUGAUCCCUGGGCUUUCGGCCCCAGGGCUGUCUGUGACAUCAUAGGUUUAGCUGCAGGCAUGCUAAUGCUCCUGGCGGGACAGGAGCCAAGACACAAAACCUCCAGGAUCUGCAUUCAGGGGGACAAUUCAAGGAGGCAUUUCCUAGGCUUCUCAGAAGGUCCCAGUGGAAUCCAUCUCCUGAUGCCCCCGCAUAUCCUCAAUAUUGCUCCUUUAUCCGGUUCUUUCCUUCCCUCUUCCCUUCUGCUCUCUGACAGCGAUGGAAAAAGGGGACCAUUGGAAGACCCUUCCCUUUGGAAGAGACCGCCAUUUUUCCUUCAUCCGUAUUGUCAUCCAUCCUCUCCAAGUCUUAUAAUAACAUAUAUGAAUGAAUCUUUUCCCAGUUUGUUUUGGUUUAUUUUGAAUCCCCAACAGACUCCUAUGGGUCUCUGCUCCCUUAAUGCUCCAAACCUAUUUGUAACUGAACAGACUAGGGUUAUGUUUACAAAAGCAGAGUCUGCCUGGAUUUUCUUCAUUAAUUCAACAAACAUUUAUUGAAUACAUGUGCAGAGCAUAUCCAGGUUUUAUGGAGCCUAAACCUUAUAAAUUUUAGGGUGCUAUGUGAAAAAGACAAUAGAAAAAAAAAUUUAGGUCUUGGAAAGGUCCUGUGCAAAUGAGAAGGGCCUGAAGUUAUUCUUCAUUGACUUUAUGGCCAGCCCACCCUUCACUCUUCACCACGUGUAGGAAGUAUUCCAGGUGUUUGGGAAACACCAAUGCAAAAAAAAAAAAGGCAAAA